This 253-nucleotide ribosomal RNA is filed under the name uncultured bacterium. Its description in RNAcentral is "partial 16S ribosomal RNA". It matches the Rfam family "Bacterial small subunit ribosomal RNA", at positions 104 to 353 of the family's 1533-position model. The record is from RNAcentral.
UGGUGAGUAACACGUAAGCAACCUGCCUAUCAGAGGGGAACAACAGUUAGAAAUGACUGCUAAUACCGCAUAUGCCUUAAUUACCACAUGGUAGUAGAGGGAAAGGAGUAAUCCGCUGAUAGAUGGGCUUGCGUCUGAUUAGAUAGUUGGUAAGGUAACGGCUUACCAAGUCGACGAUCAGUAGCCGGACUGAGAGGUUGAACGGCCACAUUGGGACUGAGAUACGGCCCAGACUCCUACGGGAGGCAGCAUG